CCUACGGGGGGCAGCAGUGAGGAAUAUUGGUCAAUGGGCGUAAGCCUGAACCAGCCAAGUCGCGUGAGGGAUGAAGGUUCUAUGGAUCGUAAACCUCUUUUAUAAGGGAAUAAAGUGUGGGACGUGUCCUAUUUUGUAUGUACCUUAUGAAUAAGGACCGGAUAACUCCGUGCCAGCAGCCGCGGUAAUACGGAGGAUCCGAGCGUUAUCCGGAUUUAUUGGGUUUAAAGGGUGCGUAGGGGGCCUUUUAAGUCAGCUGUGAAAGUCUGUGGCUCAACCAUAGAAUGGCCGUUGAAACUGGGGAGCUUGAGGAUGUUUGAGGAAGGCGGAAUGCGUGGUGUAGCGGUGAAAUGCGUAGAUAUCACGCAGAACCCCGAUUGCGAAGGC
Molecule: ribosomal RNA, 387 nt
Filed under: uncultured bacterium
Lineage: Bacteria
Description: partial 16S ribosomal RNA
Rfam family: Bacterial small subunit ribosomal RNA
Source: RNAcentral